UUCACAUUCAAUAACCUCUCAAUUGAUAAACACUGUUAUUGGCAAGUGACUCAGAGACCAAUACCCAUAUAUAAAAUAGAAAAGGCUGAAACAUAACACAAAACUAAUAGUAUUAUGCAUAAUAGUAGGGUCAAUUGAAAGCAUAUAAUCAUAAUAGAGUAACAUGUGUUCAUGUGCAUGAACAUGAAUCGAUACACUGAUUGUGGGCGUUUCAUUUUCUUUUCUUUUCUUUAUGCUUAGACUUCUUUAUAUAUACAUUUAGCCUUUACUUUGGUUUGGAGCAGUGAGUGAAAAUUAGAGAAGAGCAAAUCAAAGGAGAAAGCAGAAGAAGAAAAAAUGAAGGGGAAGCUGAGUUUCUCAAAGAGAUUCAUCUCUCCUAUGAGAUUGUUGGAUAGAUGUAAACAAGUUUUGGUGAGACUUUUAUUCUCUUCUUCCACUCACAAAACUGUCACAAAUCAGUCAUCUUCUUCCACUGCCAUAAACUUCUAUAAUCCAUAUUAUUGCCCAGAUUCUCAUUAUAAUGAAGCCAUUUCAGACUGUAUAGAAUUCUUCAAGCAGUCUUCAUCCACUGAUGACAAAAUAUGCUGCAAUGUUUGAUAUUUUCUGCUACAGUAAUGGAGUCUGCAUAUUCAGCUCAACACAAAUGUAAAGAGAUGAGAGUGUUGCUUUCAUUAACUGAUACAGAAACAUGAGUCUUAGGCUGAAUCUGUUUGGCUAAGAGCCAAAGACUGAGGGGUGUCCAUUAUGUCAAAUUUAUCUGCGACGCGAUCCUGAUCUCAUCCCCUAUGAUAUCAGAACCUUGCACUCAGCAAACUUAUAACUCCAUUUUCUCGUCCAAAUGUUCUACAUAACUUUUAUAUACUUUUAUAAAUGAAACUCCAUUUUCAUGGCCAAAAGGAUUGCCCCAUGAAACUCCAUUUUCAUGUCUGCAUUUGCUUUGGUUGAAAUAUAGUUUAUAAUCCAUAUA
Molecule: long non-coding RNA, 967 nt
Organism: Cryptomeria japonica (Japanese cedar)
Lineage: Eukaryota; Viridiplantae; Streptophyta; Pinopsida; Cupressales; Cupressaceae
Exons: 2
Source: RefSeq, a predicted model, not a curated record